CCGGCGCGGCGGAGGAUCGCUUCCGGCUCGCGCCGGGGGAGGAAAGUCCGAACACCGCAGGGCGCCCAGCCGCGCAACCGCGCUAACACGCGGAUACGCGCGGGGCUUGGAAUCGAAAGAUUUCAAACACGGAAAGUGCCACAGAAAAAAAACCGCCAGCUUUCGGGCUGGCAAGGGUGAAACGGCGGAGUAAGAGCCCACCGCUUUCCGAGUAAUCGGAAAGGCACGGAAAACCCCGCGGGGGUGCAAGGCCAAAUAGGAAACCUUCGAAGCGGCCCGCUUCAGGCUCACGCCGGGUUUCGGGUACCGGCCGCUCAGACGAAUGAUCUUCGCUGUUCGCGGUUCUCACGAAUCGCGACCGGAACAGAAUUCGGCUUACAGCCGCGCCGGGAUC
RNAcentral lists this RNase P RNA (394 nucleotides) under Verrucomicrobiota bacterium. RNAcentral describes it as "Verrucomicrobia bacterium (freshwater metagenome) RNase P RNA component class A". It matches the Rfam family "Bacterial RNase P class A". Rfam says of the family: Ribonuclease P (RNase P) is a ubiquitous endoribonuclease, found in archaea, bacteria and eukarya as well as chloroplasts and mitochondria. Its best characterised activity is the generation of mature 5'-ends of tRNAs by cleaving the 5'-leader elements of precursor-tRNAs. Cellular RNase Ps are ribonucleoproteins. Lineage: Bacteria; Pseudomonadati; Verrucomicrobiota. The record is from RNAcentral.